UUUGGUUAAUUCUAAUACAUUUGAAAUAUAUAUUAAAUGAAACUUAUAUGUUGAUUGAUGAUUAAUGCAUCGAUAUCAUGUAAAUGUGAACUGAAAUAAUGAUUUGAUAAAGCACAAUAACUCCUAAACCGAUGAAUAUUGGAUAGAGUACAACUGACAUGUCGAUAGGUUGUUUUGCGUGCGGUAUGGGAUUGGUAUAAGAUGUGAUGAUGAUUUCUGAAUAUACCGAGGUCCUACAUAUGCUGCGAACUAUCGUGUUAUAUUACAGCAUUUGCUUGUAUGAGUGUCUAGUGUGUUCUGGAUGGUUAAUAGUGUACUCGUAUUCAUAUAUCUUUCAUCG
Molecule: long non-coding RNA, 340 nt
Filed under: Gossypium raimondii (Peruvian cotton)
Lineage: Eukaryota; Viridiplantae; Streptophyta; Magnoliopsida; Malvales; Malvaceae
Description: long non-coding RNA (GRAI_LNC004460)
Source: RNAcentral